This 501-nucleotide long non-coding RNA is filed under the name Homo sapiens (human). RNAcentral describes it as "non-protein coding lnc-ZDHHC17-12:1". Lineage: Eukaryota; Metazoa; Chordata; Mammalia; Primates; Hominidae. The record is from RNAcentral.
GUUUUGUACUUUCUACUUGCAUAUGCUGGUUUUAUAAUAAUAAAAGGUUAUUUUAAAAAGAAAAUCACUAUUUUCCGCUGAGCCCAGAUACAGCUUCUGAAUCACCAUCAACAUGAGACUGGUACAUUCCAGCAUGGGAGGCUGCCAGGGCAUCAGUCCAGCUGGUUACUUCUUCGAAGAAGUAACUACUGAUUUCCUUUUGCCUAUUGAUUUCCAUUGCCUAUGCAUCUUACCUGUGGCUCAAGAUUACCUUGGCACUAAAUCCAAUUAGCCUUUUCACUUUGGCAGCCCUUACCAAUUGGCAACUUCUUUGUCUCUUGGUUUGCUUUUGGGCAAAAAUUACCUUCUUCUUUAGUUUUUGAGUCAUUAUAUCCUCUUGGUUUUCUUCCUACCUUUCUGACUUCUCAGUCUCCUUUGAAAGUUUACAGCUUCUUUAAUUUCCCCCACAAUUCCAUACUCAGCCUUCUCUCUUCACUCUAUAUCUUUUUCCCAAAAAAGGGA